AUUUCUUCCGUGGUACCCUUUUGCCUCUAAAAGUCCUCUGUGGCUUGACACCGCUGACUCCAUCCUCCGCAUAUCCUCCAGCCUGUGGAACAUGGUAAUUUCUAGCAACACCGCACAACUUUGCCUCUGGCCCCACAGCCGCCGGGGUAGUGAGGAAGUGUGCCUCCUCAAACCCCUCCAGCCCCGUGCUCACCUCAACCAACCCUGACCUAACUGAUGGACGUGUGACUGGCAGUAAGCCUGCUUCUCGUGGUGCACCCCAGUAUGUGACACAUCUACGAGUUCCAUUUAUAUCCACCUCCUCCUACAGCCUUGGCAGAAUUGACUCAGGGCUCACAAAUCCCUCCGCAGCGUCGCCGGUCUGCGGCAGGGCGGUGUAGCGUUUGGCAAGAAGAUGGUGUCCUUGGCCCGCGAGGGAGGCUAUUGGGGAACAAGGACAAAGGAAUGUGUGAUGGUGACAGGUCACAAUGGCCUGGAGAGGAUUAAAAGCAGCCAGGCAGGGUGGCGUAGGCCGAGGUGGAGGGAGGCUCCUGAGAGAGCUUAGCAGGUGCAAGAUUGCUGUUGGCUGUUCACGUUGCAGCAGCAAAAUGCAGAGGCUGCAGGGAACUGGCGUGUCGGGUGCCGGAGGCCCUUCAGCGUCCUGACGUCUUCGCGUCCUCCGCAGGGGCGGUUUGCGUCCAGGGGCCAGAUCGUCUCAGCACAGAUCAUGAAGAUCCGUGGAGAAAGGCACCCAAAUCAGGUCAGAAUCAGGAGACCCCACAUCAUCCCUGAGAUCUUUAAGGUCAUCUCUUCUGAUUAUGCUUAGAGGGGUGAGGACGAAUCCAGCAGUCCUCGCAGAUGUACUGUACACACUCUUGCAGUCACGAAACCUACAGUGCCUGACAAAGGGGCAGCAGCAGGAGUGGCAGAGAUAACAAUAGGAGCCACAGCAGGUGCUGUGGAUACUCAGGACAGAUCGACUCAACACCGGCAGGAGCAGCCUUCAUGGAUCCAGGAGGAAGCAGAGCCGUCAUGCCCAGGGCGGGUGCUUCCGGCGUGUCCCCACUAUGAGGUGAGGACUUAACAUGUUUGUAAGCAAGUAAUUCCCUCACGUCAGCAGGAGCUGCCAGUCUCUCUCCAGAGGGCAGCAUGUGUAUGGUGCUCGCAGGAGCAGAGACGACUGACAAGCCUGUUUCAGAAACAGCUGAAGUUCCAGUAGCGGGACCCCUCAUCUCAAGUGUGCAGACUGAAAGCUGCAUUAUUAAACAGGAAGGAAGCCAGAAGGUCUCCAAACCAGUGCUGAAGCCUAGAAGGAAAGACAGGAAAAUGACAGAACUCCCGAGAGAGGGCAUUCCCGUCACCAUCGUGUCCACUGGAGAGGACAAAUCAACCCUAACAUCGUCCUUCUGCUGGUCUGUAGCCUGCUGUGGAACCACUAGGGGUGGAAAAGAAGGAAAAAGUCUGGAGCAGCCCAGGAAGCAGAGGACACCACUCCUUCUUCCAUGGGAAAGAAACACAUCAGCUUUAGCUCCACCGCAGAGGAGUCUGGGUUUUUAGAUUUUCCCUUUUUCACUGGAUUUAAGCUGUUUGAUUAUGGUGCGACUUUGUGUAGUUUUCUUCAGGAUACUUAUGCUGUGGGUUCGUUGAGCUUUUUAGAUCUGUGAGUUUGUACUAUUCAUCAAAUCUGGGAAGUUUUCAGCCAGAAUUUUUUCAAAAAAAUCUUAGCGCUAUCUCAAUACAAUGCACAACAGCUAAUCUACAAGCAAAGUCAAAGAUGGGUGGGCAAUGCUGAUGAAUACCAGGCAUUUAAUUUGCUCACUUAAGACGUAUCACUCAGACUGAUGCAACAAUGGUGAUUCAUCACGGUGAGCUGCAAAUCCUGAUUACUGACAGCCAUGGUCGGGGAAAAGCCAGAGACAGUGACUAAAGAAGCAGAUGAUUUAUGCUGCUUUGUUUUGAUAUUAAAAAGUGCAUUGCUUUCAGACCUAUUUUUUGAGCUGCUGUAUUGGUUUUAUAGUUUUCCUCCAAACUUCUGCACCCUUUACAGAAAACUGGGAGUUUUUGCAUCAUGAAAAGGGGUUUCUUGGGACACAUGACUUUCAUUACUAAAACCAGGCUAAUCCCAUACAAACUGGGAUGAUUUAUUGCCCCACGGCCAGCUCUCUUGAAGCCUUCCUGGAGAGCACCAAGGUCACCACAGCAUGUUUUCACCCACCGCCCCAAAGUAGAGCUGGUCCCACUAAGUGCACGUGGUGAGGUCCCACGUUUUGCUGUUGGACCUUUCACCUGCUCCAUUAUGGGAACCAGGUUCCUCCGGGCAGUAGAACCGAGAGUAAGAGCCCUAAAUCAUUCCUCGCUGAAGCCUCACUGAGGGGGGCUGAAGGAUGAGGGUCCAUGAGGGCUUCUCUUGUGCUGAGCAAAUAACAUCUUGUCCCCAACAGAAGGACUGAGAACCACACUCCGUUCAGUACCAAGAUGAAACCAAGAUUCCCAGCUGAAAUAACGCUACCAAACAAUGGUCCUUCCUUCGCGUUCCUACUCACCAAGCUUUCCGUCUCUUUUCUGUACAGAUCAUUUAACUCUUCUAGACAACCGUCUUACUCUUCCAGGUCACCAUCUUUCUCCACCAGGUCCCAACAAUGGACAAACUCAAAUGACAGCCUUCACAUCGCUCCAACCCACUUACUUUUAGAUUUUCCUUGCACCGUGAUGAAGAAAACAAUCACGGGAAUGCAGACCACGGUUAAAAUAAUACUCAAAAUUACCCACAUAAUAUUUCUGUUGAAGAAGGAAAAUAUUGACAUCAGUUCGGGUAAGUGGCAAUGUCUGUCAGUACACGUUCCAUUUCGAAAAAGAGCCAGUAUCUAGUUCAUGCUGACCUUAAAGCAUCUCACCAUUUCUCUGUGUCUUUUUUCUGAUAACAUUUAAAUUCUCCUCUCUUGUAGCCCCUGUCUACCAUAGAGGCGUAGGUUCAUCCUAAUCUCAUCACUCCACACACGCCUACACAGUUUUUAAAGCAACCAGUAAAAUAAUACAAAUCACUUCCCUGGUGUCCUACAGACAAAGCCAUCAUUUCAAUGAUUUUAAUGUAAUUCAACUGUUCAUUCUGUCAUUGCAUAAAUAUUAUGAAUAAAAGAACCUCUUAAGGAUAAAGGAAAAACUGCAACUUCUCUGUGCUUCCAGUCAAUUUGCUGUUGACAAUUAUUAUAUUCAUUAUCUAAAAAUCAGAUUCUGCUAAGAAACCUAAGCUCAAGAAAGAAUAUUGUGAAUUUUUAAUUUCGCGUCACACUUCACCUAGCAAAGAAAUGCUGGCAGCUCUAGUCCAAGUAGGAGCCUUGAACACCACAACUCAUUUUGGUGUUAGAAUGUUGCCUAAAAAGUACAGUGCAGAGACUCAAAAUGAUUUUCCUUUCUAUUAGAAAUUCAACAAUAUACAAGAAACACAGCUUUUAAAACACUUCUCAAGGCGACGCGAUGUAGUAAUAUAGAAACUACCCUGCCAACAGAAAUAGUUAUUUCCUCCUUCUGGUUGAGCCGGAGGUUGAGGAACAGAGUGCAGCUUUUUUAGUCUAGUUACUAGGACUGAAGAUGAAGUGGAGAACAGACUGUUUCCAUCUGUUCUGCUGUUUUCAGAGUGUGGCUUUAAAUUCUGUGUUAGGCAUCUCACCAGCUUGCCUCAGGCUCUGGGUACCACCUUGCAGCCUUACACACCAGAUGGUCCACUCUGGCAUCACUGUUCUUGAAGAGAACGCGCGGGGAACUUCAUAAUCCUGUGAAAUGUAAAGGGGACAAGGAGCUUAGUUAAGAAAUCAACAUCUAAAAAUUGUUUUGAUCCUAAGUUUUAGUAUGUUUAACCAAAUAGAAUGACUGUCUAUCUUUUGUGCAACUUAAGUAGGAAAAAAAAAAAGAUUCUGUGAAUGAUUUCAUCAGAAUGAUUACCCUAAGAGAUCAAAGGUAGCAGGAAAGGGCAAGAACAAGAUAUCUUGAAGGAAUGAGAUAUUAACAAAUAGUCAAGAAAGGAAGGUAAUAAGGAGAAGACAAGUGUUAGGACUUAUAGUACGCUCGGAGGCUUGUUGAAGGGCACAGUUCUGAUUAAGUCAUUACUCUCCCACAAAUGUUGAAUUGUCAAAGAGGAUUCAUAGCAAUCAUACACUUUACCUACCAAACUUUACCGUUAUUACUGAAAGAUAGAAAAAGUAAGGACAGAGUCAGCACCAUCCACCUCUGAAAUGGUUCAAAACCAUCAGACGUACUUUUCAAAAAAGUUAUUUUUCCACCAUGGGAUGUAUUUUGGUUUUAGAUUAAGAGAUGAGUGUUAACAAUGUGUAUAACACACGUGAUUUAAAAGUUAGUCUGAGGGAGUCAUUUUAGAUUCUUAGUUUUUACACUCCAUCAGUCACAUAAGUUGAGAAACUACAUGACUAACUUUCACUUUCCAGUUGAGCCCUAUAAACCAUAAACCCCAGUUUUACGUACAGUAAGCAAUGUAGAAGGACCAAGUAUACAGAGAAGCUGUUCACUCUUUCUUUCCAAGUUAUGCGCGGGUGGGUCAAUACUGCACCUGCCUUUUGUGGGACGUGCAUGAGUCGCAGCCCCAGCAGUGGCAGGGCAUUGAAUCUGCACAUGGAAGAUCAUCACCCAUUCCCUGGACACUCUGUUGUGCAUCGUGGAGCCUGGCUUCUCUCAGGACUCCUGAUGGAAGACAGUGACAGAUUUCUGAGCAUCUAUGAGACAGACCUUGGGCUCCAAUGUGAGUGUCUCUAGCCCUCUAGUCUAACUCUCUCCUGAUCUUAGAAUUAUUCAGUUUAGCCCUUCUUUUUAUACAUUUUCCAGGUCUGCAUCUCUGAUUCACCUUCAGGGCAUACAAUGCUAAGUAGGGAGCAAGGCUACAGGCAGCAGGAGAGAGUGUGAAUGAAGGAACGAGUACAUUGGAAACAGUAGACUGGUUCUUGGGAUGCUCUACUUGGAAUCGUGGUGGAGCUGCCCACUAAUCAGUGCCCAGUGGUUUGGCAGACUAAAAGUUACAAAAUAAGGAAUGAAUGUUGUCUUCUCAGAGGUGACUUCGUGUGAGUCUGUCUGUGUUAAUUCUUUUCCCUGCUCCAUCCGGAAGGCACGAAAUUUCACCUUGAAAUGCACAGGAGUGACCUCACAGUGGAUUCUGUGACAUCAAACAAGCUAAAGCCUGAGACCCUAGUCUCCAGUCAAGUGGAGCCCCACCUCACCCCCAUGCUCAAUGGAGCCAAGAGAAGUGCUUCAUCUUGCAUCAACCACUGCCUGCCUUUGGUUCCCCAAGGUUAUGGAGGAAAGUCAUCUCCUGUGGGCUGGGGAGCACCACAACCUUCUUCUCUUCUUGCUGUUCUUCUCUCUGAAGGCCCUGAAUGUAGAUACAGUACUAAGUCUGGUCUGUAGAUUAAGCAAGAACAGGACUCAUGUUUCCUCGGGAUAUUCAUUGGCGGGGAGGAGGGGAAUGGCAGUGUUUGUCAGGCUAUGGUCUAGACUUAGCAAUGUCACUUCUAAGUAUGUACCCCAGAGAAACUCUCACACAUCUGUUCCGGGAGACAACUAUAAGAAUGUAGCACAAUGUAAGAGCAAAACGUUGGAAAUAGCCCCAAAUGUCCAUCAACCGGGGAACUGAUAAAUUAUGGAAUAUGUAUACUGUGAGAUACAACGGGGGCAGCUAUGCACAUCGGCAUGGAUGAAUCUCACCUACGUUAAAGUCAAAACAGUCACAGAACACAUGCGCUUGAGCUCAAUGUACAAAACUGUUAAUCGCAAUACCAAACUAUGAAUUAUUUAGGGUAGAUAUUUGGCAAAAUUAGAAAAAAAGCAGAUAACCGUCAGGCGUAAAGGAGGGAGAUGUCAUCAGGGAAAUUUACUCAAGAGCUUCAAUAGUGUUGGCAAUUGUUCUAUUUCAUAAACAAGGUGGUGGGUACACAGAUGUUUAUUUUUGAAUAUAUUCACAUUUCUGAGAGCUGGAUGGUCUUAAGAUGUGGUUAUCAUUGUCAUGGAUAUAUCUUAACCAAUUUCUCUUAGUACAUUUUACUUUUUAUGUGUUCACAAGGGUGAAAAAUGUCAAAAUCAAAUCUGAAAGAUUUUUUUAAUGAGUAUAAAACAUUCAAAUAAACAAGAAAUCAUUGUAUCAGUUUAAGUAGUAUCAUUUUUUCUGUCUUAGUGGUACGUAAAAUAUAAUACGUAUUAUACUUGAU
Molecule: long non-coding RNA, 6185 nt
Organism: Equus caballus (horse)
Lineage: Eukaryota; Metazoa; Chordata; Mammalia; Perissodactyla; Equidae
Source: Ensembl